Molecule: long non-coding RNA, 984 nt
Filed under: Heterocephalus glaber (naked mole-rat)
Lineage: Eukaryota; Metazoa; Chordata; Mammalia; Rodentia; Bathyergidae
Description: lncRNA (ENSHGLG00100034691.1)
Source: RNAcentral
CUGAGAUACAUGGAAAUGGCCACCUGCUCAGAAAGAAGUCCUUCUCACUAGGCUUGAAAUGCCCAUCGGUCCUUUGGUCAUCCAGUUCUAACAUCAUGACACCAGAAGUUCCGUAUUGUACCAGUCAGGUACUCAAAUCCAAAGGGACUGACUAAAUGUAUUUGGAGGAAAUGGUAGGAAGCUUCAAGUCUUCCUUUCCCCAAAGACACCGAGUUAACACGGACCAGAACACCUCUGUGAGAACUCUAGAGACAUGUCGAGAAGCUACAGCAUGCCAUAUCAUUGUAAAACCCAAAAAGGAUUCUAAACAAAAAAGGAGGGAAAAUCUGCAGUAUUUGGCAAAGCCAUCCUGACUUUUCUUCUUUGUGGCAUAGUGCUAAGCAACUGGGAAAAAACCCUUACCCCAGGGCUCCAUCAUCCAGGAUGGAAACAAAAGAUUGGACCAUGGAUUCAGUGCUCUGGUUUAUCUGAUGGCCACCCAAGGGGCUAGCUGCUUUAUCACCUGACUGGGACAACAGCUAAGGAUACCAGGGGAAGAAUCUGGAAACAAAGGUGGAGCCUCCGAUUAGAGCUGCGGUUCCACAAGCAGACACCAGAGGGAACAAAAGAACAGGAAAGAUGGGAGCCAUCCUUGCUCCACUAGUACUGCUGUGAAGGUCUUCCCCUACAAGGAGCCAGACUGUGGAAGGGAAAUCCCCAGCAGACAGCUGAUACUCAGAGUUGACAAAAAGAAUGAAGGAAGGAAUGAAGCCAUCUGCGGAAGGGCACGGAACUGCCGGGUAAUGGAAACUGGAACCGCAUGCCCAGCAGGCCCGGUGACCCACAGUAACAGGUGUUUGCACCUCUGAGGUCUGUGAGUCAUCCGCACAGCUGCGCGCGCACACAGCAUAAGCACUCACAGGCUCCUGGAAGACAACGCUGGAACACAAGCUGACGUGGGCACCGUGUUCUGGGCGCCCCGAGACACACCUCAGCAAGAACCUG